UCCCUGGUGGCUCAGAGGUUAAAGCAUCUGCUUGCAAAGCAGGAGACCUGGGUUCGAUCCCUGGGUUGGGAA
Molecule: transfer RNA, 72 nt
Filed under: Bos taurus (domestic cattle)
Lineage: Eukaryota; Metazoa; Chordata; Mammalia; Artiodactyla; Bovidae
Also listed under: 5 other names
Rfam family: tRNA
About the family: Transfer RNA (tRNA) molecules are approximately 80 nucleotides in length.
Source: Rfam by way of RNAcentral